RNAcentral lists this unclassified non-coding RNA (326 nucleotides) under soil metagenome. RNAcentral's name for it is "partial contains 5.8S ribosomal RNA, internal transcribed spacer 2, and large subunit ribosomal RNA". The stretch from base 1 to 119 matches the Rfam family "5.8S ribosomal RNA", at positions 35 to 154 of the family's 154-position model. The record is from RNAcentral.
GAUCAAGAACGUAGUGAAAUGCGAUAAGUAAUGUGAAUUGCAGAAUUCAGUGAAUCAUCAAUCUUUGAACGCACAUUGCGCCCCUUGGUAUUCCGGGGGGCAUGCCUGUUCGAGCGUCAUUAUCACCCCUCAAGCUCAGCUUGGUGUUGGGGCCUGCCGUCAAGGCAGCCCUUAAAAUCAGUGGCGGCGCCAUCUGGCUCUAAGCGUAGUAAUACUUCUCGCUACAGUGUCCCGGUGGUGUCUUGCCAGAACCCCUCAUUUUUUAUGAUUGACCUCGGAUCAGGUAGGGAUACCCGCUGAACUUAAGCAUAUCAAUAAGCGGAGGA